This 673-nucleotide ribosomal RNA is filed under the name uncultured Vibrionaceae bacterium. RNAcentral describes it as "bacterial SSU rRNA". It matches the Rfam family "Bacterial small subunit ribosomal RNA", at positions 1 to 671 of the family's 1533-position model. Lineage: Bacteria; Pseudomonadati; Pseudomonadota; Gammaproteobacteria; Vibrionales; Vibrionaceae. The record is from RNAcentral.
UAGAGUUUGAUCAUGGCUCAGAUUGAACGCUGGCGGCAGGCCUAACACAUGCAAGUCGAGCGGAAACGAGAAUAGCUUGCUAUUCGGCGUCGAGCGGCGGACGGGUGAGUAAUGCCUGGGAAAUUGCCCUGAUGUGGGGGAUAACCAUUGGAAACGUUGGCUAAUACCGCAUAAUAGCUUCGGCUUAAAGAGGGGGACCUUCGGGCCUCUCGCUUCAGGAUAUGCCCAGGUGGGAUUAGCUAGUUGGUGAGGUAAAGGCUCACCAAGGCGACGAUCCCUAGCUGGUCUGAGAGGAUGAUCAGCCACACUGGAACUGAGACACGGUCCAGACUCCUACGGGAGGCAGCAGUGGGGAAUAUUGCACAAUGGGCGCAAGCCUGAUGCAGCCAUGCCGCGUGUAUGAAGAAGGCCUUCGGGUUGUAAAGUACUUUCAGCAGUGAGGAAGGGUGUGUAGUUAAUAGCUGCAUACUUUGACGUUAGCUGCAGAAGAAGCACCGGCUAACUCCGUGCCAGCAGCCGCGGUAAUACGGAGGGUGCGAGCGUUAAUCGGAAUUACUGGGCGUAAAGCGCAUGCAGGUGGUUUGUUAAGUCAGAUGUGAAAGCCCGGGGCUCAACCUCGGAACCGCAUUUGAAACUGGCAGGCUAGAGUACUGUAGAGGGGGGUAGAAUUUCA